GUGUUGGUAUAAACUUAUUUAUAUGAGAGUAUUAUCCUAGGUAGAAGAAAAUAAGACGUGCUUCAAAUAAAUAGUUCACGAUAUGUAUCUUUUUGUCGAGCCUGCAACUUUUGUUGCAGAAAGCUCGACAUAGGGAUAGUGAUCAGGCGGCGGCGGCGGCGUUAGCUCACUUCUUAAAAACUUUAUAUUUUAGAAGGUUGAAGACCUGGA
Molecule: long non-coding RNA, 210 nt
Filed under: Mytilus galloprovincialis (Mediterranean mussel)
Lineage: Eukaryota; Metazoa; Mollusca; Bivalvia; Mytilida; Mytilidae
Source: RNAcentral